UACGUAGGGUGCAAGCGUUAUCCGGAAUUAUUGGGCGUAAAGAGCUCGUAGGCGGUUUGUCGCGUCUGCUGUGAAAACCGGAGGCUCAACCUCCGGCCUGCAGUGGGUACGGGCAGACUAGAGUGCGGUAGGGGAGAUUGGAAUUCCUGGUGUAGCGGUGGAGUGCGCAGAUAUCAGGAGGAACACCGAUGGCGAAGGCAGAUCUCUGGGCCGUAACUGACGCUGAGGAGCGAAAGCAUGGGGAGCGAACAGG
This 253-nucleotide ribosomal RNA is filed under the name uncultured bacterium. Its description in RNAcentral is "partial 16S ribosomal RNA". It matches the Rfam family "Bacterial small subunit ribosomal RNA", at positions 524 to 776 of the family's 1533-position model. The record is from RNAcentral.